Molecule: non-coding RNA, 2095 nt
Organism: Peromyscus maniculatus bairdii (prairie deer mouse)
Lineage: Eukaryota; Metazoa; Chordata; Mammalia; Rodentia; Cricetidae
Source: RefSeq, a predicted model, not a curated record
UGUGAAACUGUCAAUGAAGUAUGGAUGGUUUGAUGAACAAGGACCUGUUCUACUCAAAGCCUGAAGAUGUGACAGAAAGCCUAGAGGCCUCAGAAGUGUAGAGGAGGCAUCAAACAGGAGAAAAUACCUGACAAAGGUGACUUAAUGAAAGGGUCCCGUUGGCUCCAACUGUGAGAGUGCAUUGGACGACAGGAGUGUGAAGCAGCUGGUUAUGGUGCAUUUACAGUGAGGAAGCCCAGAGCAAAGGAUGCUGGUGCUCAGCCCGCUUUUUCAUUUUUAUUUCACUACGACCCCAGCCCACUGGGGGCUGCCACCCAUGUUCAAGCCUGGACCUAUGGUUCCUCCUCCAGAAGAUUCUACUGGAAGGAAUCAAGUUUCCUGGUGCCUUAGGUGGAAUAUGGCAGCCAUCAGUACCUGCUUAAGGUGUCAAGAAGGGGUGAACAACAUAGAAGAGAAAGGACUACCAGACUGUGUUACCCUGGGCAGGACUGGUAAUAAGCAUGUGCUGAGGACAGGAGGCUACACUUGCUCGCCUUCCUAUGCACAGCAUGCUGAAGAUGCAGAAGAGGGACUCUAGUUGAUGCUGUUUCCCAUAGCUUAUCCUUUCUCCACAACACAGGCCAUCCUGGCAUCUGUAUUCCCAGCCUUGUCAUUCUGCAUUCCCCACCCCAUCAACCAGGAGAGACAUACAGACCUUGUACAGGCAUGGAAACUGUCCUUUCCAGAAGCCAGGCAACCUGAAUCCUGUUGAACUACAGAACUCUGUCCUUGCACACACCCAGCAUCCAUCAGCCUUGGGUUUCUUGUCUCUAUCCUCAAACAGCCAACAAAUUCUGUCUGCCUUAAAAAUAUCAAAUGAGAUACCAUGGAAGAAGUUUUAAAGGCAUAUGCAUGUCACUUUGUAUUGCAGGGAUUGGUUCCAGAACCCCCGCAGAUACCCAAAUCUGCAGGUGUUUGCAUUUUAGGUAAAGUGCAUUGUACCUGUGCCCAGCCUAAGUACACAGCUAGACUUUAGAUUGUCUCUAGAUUAACUUUAAUGCUUAAUGCAAUGUCAAUGUCACCUGCAUUGCCACUGUGCCACACUGUCGAGGGAAGAAUGACAAGGAAAGAGUCUGCACAUGUUCCUUGCAGAUGCAAGUUUUCCUUGAAUUCUUUCAGUGCAUGGUUGAUUGAAUCUGCAAAUAUAGAGCCUGUGAAUACUGAGGGCUGAUUGCAUUGAGCUACUCAAAGCUGGUGUAAAUGAUUAGACAUAAUAAACAUUAAUCUACUGUUGUUCCCAGCAAUGCCAGUGGGCUUUACACUAUCCACAGACUGUCCAGUUGCCUCCCCAAUAAGACAACAUAUAAGCUGGUAUGGAAGCAGGAGGAGCUGGUUCAGGCCUCCUCUGCUCCAGGAUGGCUAUAAAUGUGGCCCAACACAUUUGUAUGAUAGACAACAGUGUCAGUUUUUUUUUUUAAUCACUGUGAAAAUCUAUAACACAAAAAAGUCAUCCAAGGUAGAAAGUAAAGUAUAUGCAAAGGCCCUGUGGUAGGGAGGAGCUUUUGAACAUUCUAGAAAUUGGCAGAAGACCUUGGUAUCUAAAACAUAGCAGACAGGGUGCAAUUGGAGAGAUACAUGGUAUAUAGCAGAUGCCUGGUGGUAUUUGACUACUAGUAAAUUAAUUGGUGAGUGAACAGGGCUGCAGCUUGGGUCAAGGAAGCUUAUCUCUCUGUACCCUUCUGGUAAUGCACAUUUCUGCAGCAGCACUGAAUACAUCUGGCAACAUCCCUCUCCAGAUUCUGUGGAGAGAGACCCCUGUCCAGGCUUCACCAACUCACCUGGCGAUCCGAUGCCAGCUGGAGGCCCUGACCUUUCUACCUGACUGACUCUGUCCACUUUUCUCACUCAGAGAGCCCCCCUCCUUCCCUCCUCCUCUGGAUCCCUGUGGGGGCCACUGCCUAUGUUUAUGGAAACUGAACAUGUCAUUCAAACCAGCACCUCUGGCCUCCCAACACUGGAGAUCAGUGGCCACUGUUUUCCCUCUCUGUCACUGGACUUUGCAAGUGAAGGCUGGUCUCCCCGUGGCUGUUCCCAGAACCUCGCAGACGGUAAUGAG